Molecule: ribosomal RNA, 254 nt
Filed under: uncultured bacterium
Lineage: Bacteria
Description: partial 16S ribosomal RNA
Rfam family: Bacterial small subunit ribosomal RNA
Source: RNAcentral
UACGAAGGGGGCUAGCGUUGCUCGGAAUUACUGGGCGUAAAGCGCACGUAGGCGGCUUUCUAAGUCGGGGGUGAAAUCCUGGAGCUCAACUCCAGAACUGCCUUUGAUACUGAGGAUCUUGAGUUCGGGAGAGGUGAGUGGAACUGCGAGUGUAGAGGUGAAAUUCGUAGAUAUUCGCAAGAACACCAGUGGCGAAGGCGGCUCACUGGCCCGAUACUGACGCUCAUGCACGAAAAGCGUGGGGAGCAAACAGG